Molecule: ribosomal RNA, 468 nt
Filed under: uncultured bacterium
Lineage: Bacteria
Description: partial 16S ribosomal RNA
Rfam family: Bacterial small subunit ribosomal RNA
Source: RNAcentral
GACGAACGCUGGCGGCGUGCUUAACACAUGCAAGUCGAACGGAAAGGCCCUGCUUUUGUGGGGUGCUCGAGUGGCGAACGGGUGAGUAACACGUGAGUAACCUGCCCUUGACUUUGGGAUAACUUCAGGAAACUGGGGCUAAUACCGGAUAGGAGCUCCUGCUGCAUGGUGGGGGUUGGCAAGUUUAGGCGGUUGGGGAUGGACUCGCGGCUUAUCAGCUUGUUGGUGGGGUAGUGGCUUACCAAGGCAUCGACGGGUAGCCGGCCUGAGAGGGUGACCGGCCACAUUGGGACUGGAAUGCGGCCCAGACUCCUACGGGACGCAGGGGUGGGGAAGAGAGUACUAUGGGCGGAAGCGUGAUGCAGCAACGCCGCGUGCGGGAUGACGGCCUUCGGGUUGUAAUCCGCUUUCGCCUGUGACGAAGCGUGAGUGACGGUAAUUGAUAAAGAAGCACCGGCUAACUACGUG